Molecule: non-coding RNA, 108 nt
Organism: Coprinopsis sp. MPI-PUGE-AT-0042
Lineage: Eukaryota; Fungi; Basidiomycota; Agaricomycetes; Agaricales; Psathyrellaceae
Source: the annotation of a GenBank genome assembly
ACCUCUGUGGUACAGUGGCUUAGUGCACAUUCCAAAAUAUGCCCAUGAGCCAUACACCAUGUAUAAUUAUGGGAACGGGGCGCAGGGUUCGAUUCCCCGCCGGAGGUU